GACGAACGCUGGCGGCGUGCUUAACACAUGCAAGUCGAACGGAAAGGCCCUGCUUUUGUGGGGUGCUCGAUUGGCGAACGGGUGAGUAACACGUGAGUAACCUGCCCUUGACUUUGGGAUAACUUCAGGAAACUGGGGCUAAUACCGGAUAGGAUCUCCUGCUGCAUGGUGGGGGUUGGAAAGUUUCGGCGGUUGUGGAUGGACUCGCGGCUUAUCAGCUUGUUGGUGGAGUAGUGGCUUACCAAGGCUUUGACGGGUAGCCGGCCUGAGCGGGUGACCGGCGACAUUGGGACUGAGAUACGCACCAGAAUCCUACGGGAGGCAGUAGUGGGGAAUAUUGCAGAAUGGGGGGAAGCCUGAUGUAGAGGCGCCGCGUGCGGGAUGCCGGCCUUCUAGUUGUAAACAGAUUUCGACUGUGACGAAGAGUGAUUGACGGUAAUGGGUAAAGAAGCAACGGCUAACUACGUG
Molecule: ribosomal RNA, 468 nt
Filed under: uncultured bacterium
Lineage: Bacteria
Description: partial 16S ribosomal RNA
Rfam family: Bacterial small subunit ribosomal RNA
Source: RNAcentral